CCUACGGGUGGCAGCAGUGAGGAAUAUUGGUCAAUGGACGAGAGUCUGAACCAGCCAAGUAGCGUGAAGGAUGACUGCCCUAUGGGUUGUAAACUUCUUUUAUAUGGGAAUAAAAUGUUCCACGUGUGGGAUUUUGUAUGUACCAUAUGAAUAAGGAUCGGCUAACUCCGUGCCAGCAGCCGCGGUAAUACGGAGGAUCCGAGCGUUAUCCGGAUUUAUUGGGUUUAAAGGGAGCGUAGGUGGAUUGUUAAGUCAGUUGUGAAAGUUUGCGGCUCAACCGUAAAAUUGCAGUUGAUACUGGCAGUCUUGAGUACAGUAGAGGUGGGCGGAAUUCGUGGUGUAGCGGUGAAAUGCUUAGAUAUCACGAAGAACUCCGAUUGCGAAGGCAGUUCACUAGACUGCAACUGACACUGAGGCUCGAAAGUGUGGGUAUCAAACAGGAUUAGAUACCCGAGUAGUC
Molecule: ribosomal RNA, 460 nt
Filed under: uncultured bacterium
Lineage: Bacteria
Description: partial 16S ribosomal RNA
Rfam family: Bacterial small subunit ribosomal RNA
Source: RNAcentral